RNAcentral lists this small nuclear RNA (20 nucleotides) under Arabidopsis thaliana (thale cress). Its description in RNAcentral is "snRNA_07105". Lineage: Eukaryota; Viridiplantae; Streptophyta; Magnoliopsida; Brassicales; Brassicaceae. The record is from RNAcentral.
CCUGUCGCACCACGAGGCGC